CAAGUCGGACGGGACUUUUCGCUGUAGCAAUACAGUGGAAAGUUCAGUGGCAAACGGGUGCGUAACACGUGGGCAAUCUGCCUUAAAGUGUGGGAUAGCUCGGCGAAAGCCGAAUUAAUACCGCAUGUGAUCAGAGGCGACAUCGCUUCGAAAUCAAAGGUGGCGCAAGCUACCGCUUUUUGAGGAGCCCGCGGCCUAUCAGCUUGUUGGUGAGGUAACGGCUCACCAAGGCGUUGACGGGUAGCUGGUCUGAGAGGACGACCAGCCACACUGGGACUGAGACACGGCCCAGACACCUACGGGUGGCAGCAGUCGAGAAUUUUUGACAAUGGGGGAAACCCUGAUCGAGCGACGCCGCGUGGAGGAUGAAGGUCUUCGGGUUGUAAACUCCUGUCAUUUGGGAACAAGGCGCAUGUAUUAACUGUGCAUGCGUUGAUAGUACCAGAAGAGGAAGAGACGGCUAACUCUGUGCCAGCAGCCGCGGUAAUACAGAGGUCUCAAGCGUUGUUCGGAUUCAUUGGGCGUAAAGGGUGUGUAGGUGGCGCGCUAAGUCGGGUGUGAAAUUUCGGAGCUUAACUCCGAAACUGCAUUCGAUACUGGCGUGCUUGAGGACUGGAGAGGAGACUGGAAUUUACGGUGUAGCAGUGAAAUGCGUAGAUAUCGUAAGGAAGACCAGUGGCGAAGGCGGGUCUCUGGACAGUUCCUGACACUGAGACACGAAGGCCAGGGGAGCAAACGGGAUUAGAUACCCCGGUAGUCCUGGCAGUAAACGGUGCAUGUUUGGUGUGGGAGGAUUCGACCCCUUCUGCGCCGGAGCUAACGCGUUAAACGUGCCGCCUGGGGAGUACGGUCGCAAGAUUAAAACUCAAA
RNAcentral lists this ribosomal RNA (870 nucleotides) under uncultured Verrucomicrobiota bacterium. RNAcentral describes it as "bacterial SSU rRNA". It matches the Rfam family "Bacterial small subunit ribosomal RNA", at positions 58 to 905 of the family's 1533-position model. The record is from RNAcentral. Lineage: Bacteria; Pseudomonadati; Verrucomicrobiota.